CCCUUGCAGGUAAAAUUUUAUGCUCUUGUGCAUAUCUGUAGGAUUGUUCCCUAUCUCACACUAGAUGAAGAGUUAAUAGACUCUACAAAAGAGUCUCCUUUACACAGAAAGAGUUGCUGCUGUCUAUCAGAAAGACAAGAAAGAAUCCAAGUUUUGGGAAGUCAGUUCCAGAAGAAAAUUUCUAUGAUCCUCAGAAAUCCAGUCUGCUAUACUGAUAUGUGUGACCAAUAUGGAGCUUCAGGUAUUGUGAACACAGACUGUCUACAAGUCCCAUUAUUCCUGUAGAAUACAACAUUGAGGCCCCUCUAGAAAGAACCUCAGCCACCUUCUUUAUUGAUUACAUUACAUUAUGGCAAGGGCAAGGCAAGUCAGGUGUGUGG
Molecule: long non-coding RNA, 380 nt
Filed under: Struthio camelus australis
Lineage: Eukaryota; Metazoa; Chordata; Aves; Struthioniformes; Struthionidae
Description: lncRNA (ENSSCUG00000006555.1)
Source: RNAcentral